AACGAACGCUGGCGGCAUGCCUUACACAUGCAAGUCGAACGGUAACAGGUCUUCGGAUGCUGACGGGUGGCGAACGGGUGAGUAAUACAUCGGAACGUGCCCGAUCGUGGGGGAUAACGGAGCGAAAGCUUUGCUAAUACCGCAUACGAUCUACGGAUGAAAGCAGGGGACCGCAAGGCCUUGCGCGAUUGGAGCGGCCG
Molecule: ribosomal RNA, 200 nt
Filed under: uncultured bacterium
Lineage: Bacteria
Description: partial 16S ribosomal RNA
Rfam family: Bacterial small subunit ribosomal RNA
Source: RNAcentral